GGUGGGUAGUUUGACUGGGGCGGUCUCCUCCCAAAGAGUAACGGAGGAGCACGAAGGUGGGCUAAUCACGGUUGGACAUCGUGAGGUUAGUGCAAUGGCAUAAGCCCGCUUAACUGCGAGAAUGACGGUUCGAGCAGGUGCGAAAGCAGGUCAUAGUGAUCCGGUGGUUCUGUAUGGAAGGGCCAUCGCUCAACGGAUAAAAGGUACUCCGGGGAUAACAGGCUGAUACCGCCCAAGAGUUCAUAUCGACGGCGGUGUUUGGCACCUCGAUGUCGGCUCAUCACAUCCUGGGGCUGAAGUCGGUCCCAAGGGUAUGGCUGUUCGCCAUUUAAAGUGGUACGCGAGCUGGGUUUAGAACGUCGUGAGACAGUUCGGUCCCUAUCUGCCGUGGGCGUUGGAAGAUUGAAGGGGGCUGCUCCUAGUACGAGAGGACCGGAGUGGACGAACCUCUGGUGUUCGGGUUGUGUCGCCAGACGCAUUGCCCGGUAGCUAAGUUCGGAAUUGAUAAGCGCUGAAAGCAUCUAAGCGCGAAGCGAGCCCUGAGAUGAGUCUUCCCUGACAGUUUAACUGUUCUAAAGGGUUGUUCGAGACUAGAACGUUGAUAGGCAGGGUGUGUAAGCGUUGUGAGGCGUUGAGCUAACCUGUACUAAUUGCCCGUGAGGCUUAACCAU
Molecule: ribosomal RNA, 671 nt
Filed under: Vibrio cholerae
Lineage: Bacteria; Pseudomonadati; Pseudomonadota; Gammaproteobacteria; Vibrionales; Vibrionaceae
Description: LSU rRNA
Rfam family: Bacterial large subunit ribosomal RNA
Source: RNAcentral